UACGGAAGGCAGCAGUGGGGAAUAUUGCACAAUGGGCGCAAGCCUGAUGCAGCCAUGCCGCGUGUAUGAAGAAGGCCUUCGGGUUGUAAAGUACUUUCAGUCGUGAGGAAGGUGUUAAGGUUAAUAACCUUAGCAAUUGACGUUAGCGACAGAAGAAGCACCGGCUAACUCCGUGCCAGCAGCCGCGGUAAUACGGAGGGUGCGAGCGUUAAUCGGAAUUACUGGGCGUAAAGGGCACGCAGGCGGUUAAUUAAGUUGGAUGUGAAAUCCCCGGGCUUAACCUGGGAAUGGCAUUCAAGACUGGUUAGGCUAGAGUCUUGUAGAGGGGGUAGAAUUCCAUGUGUAGCGGUGAAAUGCGUAGAGAUGUGGAGGAAUACCGGUGGCGAAGGCGGCCCCUGGACAAAGACUGACGCUCGAUGUGCGAAAGCGUGGGGAGCAAAC
This 441-nucleotide ribosomal RNA is filed under the name uncultured bacterium. Its description in RNAcentral is "bacterial SSU rRNA". It matches the Rfam family "Bacterial small subunit ribosomal RNA", at positions 340 to 773 of the family's 1533-position model. The record is from RNAcentral.